Molecule: long non-coding RNA, 835 nt
Organism: Bombina bombina (fire-bellied toad)
Lineage: Eukaryota; Metazoa; Chordata; Amphibia; Anura; Bombinatoridae
Exons: 3
Source: RefSeq, a predicted model, not a curated record
GAGUGUAAGAGAGGGUGGAAAAAAAUCUGCUGCAGAUACUAUUAAAUUUUAAUGCUAAAAUAUAUCCAAGUCACCUUCGCAAGGGCCCGAUCUAUAAAAUCGUUUUUGUACCUUGCAAAAGAGUUGCUUGCUAUACACAAAAGGUAACCACAGCUUUGAAAUCGCGUUAAUGAUUCAAGCCUAAAUCAUUACUUAUGAGAGGUCACUGAUUGGUUAAUAUGCUGUCUGCCAUUAGAACUGACAUAAGGGGGCAGUCUGCAGAGGCUUAGAUACAAGAAAGAAAAUGGCCGUUAUUUCUUACAUUGUUUGGCCCGGUGGGAGAAGAUGUCGCCUUUUUGUCUGGCAGGGAGAAUGACACAGACAGACAGCAGUAACAUUGCACUCAGUAGGAACAUACUUUGCUCUCAACAAGAUUCUGUGUUUUAAACAUUGGAAAUGAAUGGUCUCAGGAGGCUCAUUACCGUUUCUUUUGCCUUCACUGAAUAUCCAGCGACAAUGUGUACAACUACUGUCCUACUAAAUGAGCUCCCAUUUAUUAAGAUACAGCAGAAGCAGCUGCUGCUGAUAUCUAGGACAAGCUUGCUGGUUGGUAAUUUUUUUUCUGGGUAACCAUAGCACAAUAAUUUAAACUCAUGUGGGACCUAGCUAAAAAAGAUGUGCCCCAGUCAGCUUAAGGAAAUAUUUCUGAUUGGGUCAUAUUCAUAAAUCAUUUAUUAACUUUAUCUAUAUAUAUAUAUAAUUGAUAGCAAGAAAGAAUCUCCAAUAUCUUUGCUUAUCCUUUUAAUAUGCAGCACAUAUAAAUUAAUUGUCUAAAUUGAAUCUUAAUACACUGUCA